RNAcentral lists this ribosomal RNA (497 nucleotides) under uncultured bacterium. RNAcentral describes it as "partial 16S ribosomal RNA". It matches the Rfam family "Bacterial small subunit ribosomal RNA", at positions 28 to 507 of the family's 1533-position model. The record is from RNAcentral.
GAUGAACGCUGGCGGCGUGCCUAAUACAUGCAAGUCGAGCGAACAGAUAAGGAGCUUGCUCCUUUGACGUUAGCGGCGGACGGGUGAGUUACACGUGGAUAACCUACCUCUAAGACUGGGAUAACUUCGGGAAACCGGAGCUAAUACCGGAUAACAUAUUGAACCGCAUGGUUCAAUAGUGAAAGGCGGCUUUGCUGUCACUUAUAGAUGGAUCCGCGCCGUAUUAGCUAGUUGGUAAGGUAACGGCUUACCAAGGCAACGAUACGUAGCCGACCUGAGAGGGUGAUCGGCCACACUGGAACUGAGACACGGUCCAGACUCCUACGGGAGGCAGCAGUAGGGAAUCUCCCGCAAUGGGCGAAAGCCUGACGGAGCAACGCCGCGUGAGUGAUGAAGGUCUUCGGAUCGUAAAACUCUGUUAUCAGGGGAGAACAAAUGUGUAAGUAACUGUGCACAUCCUGACGGUACCUGAUCAGAAAGCCACGGCUAACUACGUG